AGUGAACGCUGGCGGUAGGCCUAACACAUGCAAGUCGAACGGCAGCACAGUAAGAGCUUGCUCUUACGGGUGGCGAGUGGCGGACGGGUGAGGAAUACAUCGGAAUCUACUUUUUCGUGGGGAUAACGUAGGGAAACUUACGCUAAUACCGCAUACGACCUACGGGUGAAAGCAGGGGAUCUUCGGACCUUGCGCGAUUGAAUGAGCCGAUGUCGGAUUAACUAGUUGGCGGGGUAAAGGCCCACCAAGGCGACGAUCCGUAGCUGGUCUGAGAGGAUGAUCAGCCACACUGGAACUGAGACACGGUCCAGACUCCUACGGGAGGCAGCAGUGGGGAAUAUUGGACAAUGGGCGCAAGCCUGAUCCAGCCAUACCGCGUGGGUGAAGAAGGCCUUCGGGUUGUAAAGCCCUUUUGUUGGGAAAGAAAAGCAGCAGGUUAAUACCCCGCUGUUCUGACGGUACCCAAAGAAUAAGCACCGGCUAACUUCGUG
RNAcentral lists this ribosomal RNA (491 nucleotides) under uncultured bacterium. Its description in RNAcentral is "partial 16S ribosomal RNA". It matches the Rfam family "Bacterial small subunit ribosomal RNA", at positions 29 to 507 of the family's 1533-position model. The record is from RNAcentral.